Molecule: ribosomal RNA, 344 nt
Filed under: Fidelibacterota bacterium CG_4_9_14_3_um_filter_48_9
Lineage: Bacteria; Pseudomonadati; Fidelibacterota
Description: bacterial LSU rRNA
Rfam family: Bacterial large subunit ribosomal RNA
Source: RNAcentral
UGGCACGCGAGCUGGGUUCAGAACGUCGUGAGACAGUUCGGUCCCUAUCCGCCGCGGGCGCAGGAGAUUUGAGAGAACCUAAUCCUAGUACGAGAGGACCGGAUUGGACGAAUCUCUAGUGUACCAGUUGUCGUGUCAACGGCAUCGCUGGGUAGCUAUAUUCGGACGAGAUAAGCGCUGAAAGCAUCUAAGCGCGAAACUCAUCUCAAGAUAAGAUCUCCCUUUUGUUGUAAAACAAACUAAAGGUACCCCAAAGAUUAUGGGGUUGAUAGGCCACAGGUGUAAGUGCAGUAAUGUAUUUAGCCGAGUGGUACUAAUUUACCGUGAGGCUUGAUCAAUUUUUA